Molecule: non-coding RNA, 72 nt
Organism: Bos taurus (domestic cattle)
Lineage: Eukaryota; Metazoa; Chordata; Mammalia; Artiodactyla; Bovidae
Source: Rfam
UCCCUGAUAUCUCACUUGGUAAAGAAUCUGCCUGCAAUGCAGGAGACCUGGGUUGGAUCCCUGGGUUGGGAA